GGAUGUGAGGGCGAUCUGGCUGCGACAUCUGUCACCCCAUUGAUCGCCAGGGUUGAUUCGGCUGAUCUGGCUGGCUAGGCGGGUGUCCCCCUCCUCCCUCACCGAUCCAUGGACGACCUCCCCCCCCCCACCCCCGCCCCCCAGGAGAGGACCCGUCUUCGGUCAAGGGUAUACGAGUAGCUGCGCUCCCCUGCUAGAACCUCCAAACAAGCUCUCAAAACAAUAUAUAAAUAUCAUUAUAUAAAAAAAACUAAUAUGCAUAAAAAAUAAACUCUUAAAAACUUUUUUGCCCUCAGCUGAGUAUUUUAGGACAAAGAUUUACUUUGCU
Molecule: unclassified non-coding RNA, 328 nt
Organism: Myotis lucifugus (little brown bat)
Lineage: Eukaryota; Metazoa; Chordata; Mammalia; Chiroptera; Vespertilionidae
Gene: 7SK
Rfam family: 7SK RNA
About the family: 7SK was discovered as an abundant small nuclear RNA in the mid-70s but a possible function has only recently been suggested. Two independent studies have found that 7SK RNA binds the CDK9/cyclin T complex (known as elongation factor P-TEFb).
Source: Ensembl